Long non-coding RNA from Diorhabda sublineata, 1115 nucleotides. RefSeq lists it as uncharacterized. Lineage: Eukaryota; Metazoa; Arthropoda; Insecta; Coleoptera; Chrysomelidae. The record is from RefSeq and is a predicted model, not a curated record. The transcript is spliced from 2 exons.
GAAUGUUCAGAUUUAAUAACUGAUAAUAAUGCUGAGAAUAAUAGCAAGUUUUAUAUUAUUGUGGGUUCAAAAUAUAAAUGCUGAAUGUAUCAGUAUCACAACAGAAAGUGGACCAAUUGCGCCGCAAAAAAUAUGUUCCGGUGAUUUGAUAUUCCAAGAUAAUUUUGAUAAACUGGAUUCGAGUAAAUGGGAUCACGAGCAAACACUUGGAGGAGGCGGGUUCUACAAAUGCAGACAACAACGGAUACCGUCGGACUAGAAAUGCCACCAAUAUCCUCAAUCCAAUCAAAAGUGCUCGAAUGAGAACUUUGAAAGCGUUCUCAUUUGAUGGUAGAGUAGAAGUACGAGCACAAACACCUUCUGGAGAUUGGUUAUGGCCUGGUUUGUGAAACUUUUAUAAAAUUAAGUUCUCCUAUAAAUUUUGUGAAUAAAUUUAGUAUCAGUAUUACCUUUUUUUUAGCUAUUUGGUUAUUACCAAGUGAAUGGAAAUACGGCAGCUGGCCGACUUUAGGUGAAAUAGAUAUUAUGGAAACUAGAGGCAACAAGCAUUUAGUAGUUGGAGGAAAUGACGAUAUCGGAGCUUGCCUUGCAGCUAGUACGCUUCAUUGGGGCCCCAAUCCAGAGAUGAAUCAGCACUCACUACGAGCAACGAAAUACUGAAGGCUACGACGCGACUUUUCAUAGAUAUCAAUUAGAAUGGACGGCUGAUUAUUUGAAAUUUUUCAUCGAUGAUGAAGAAAUCGGUAGAACAGUACCAGCAUAUGGUGGUUUCUGGGAGUUGGGAGAUUUAGAGGAGUCGGGAUAAUCUAAUCCAUGGAGUAAUGGUACUAAAAUAGCACCAUUCGAUGAACAGUUUCACUUACUUUUAAAUCUAGCGAUCGGAGGUAAUUUCUUUCCCGAUGGAUAUGGUUGGAAACCUUGGCAGAAUUCAUCUCCUAAUCCUAUGAGCCAGUUUUGGUGGGGCAGAAAACAAUGGGAGCCUACUUGGAAUUUAAGUAGUGAACAAUCUCAUUUCAAAAUUGAUUAUGUAAAAGUUUGGGCGAUUUAAUUGAAAAAACUCUUUUUACUUUUUUGUUUGAUAAUAGAAUUGUACUAAUAAUAUUACAUCAAUAAUA